AAGGAAUAUUGCUCAAUGGGAGAAAUCCUGAAGCAGCAACGCCGCGUGGAGGAUGAAGGGUCUAUGACUUGUAAACUCCUGUAAAGAAGGAAAAAAUUCCCAUUAGAUGGGAGAUGAUGGUACUUCUGGAGUAAGCCCCGGCUAACUACGUGCCAGCAGCCGCGGUAAUACGUAGGGGGCAAGCGUUGUCCGGAUUUACUGGGUGUAAAGGGUGCUCAGGCGGAUUUGUAAGUCAGAGGUGAAAUCUUACAGCUUAACUGUGAAACUGCCUUUGAUACUGCAAGCCUAGAGUAUGGAAGAGAGUGAUGGAAUAUCAGGUGUAGCAGUGAAAUGCGUAGAUAUCAGAUAGAACACCAAUGGCGAAGGCAGUCACUUGGUCCAUUACUGACGCUAAAGCACGAAAGCGUGGGUAGCAAACA
RNAcentral lists this ribosomal RNA (419 nucleotides) under uncultured bacterium. RNAcentral's name for it is "bacterial SSU rRNA". It matches the Rfam family "Bacterial small subunit ribosomal RNA", at positions 356 to 774 of the family's 1533-position model. The record is from RNAcentral.